UUUUAAAGAUUGUUUAUCUUGAGGUAAACAAGUGACUGAGUGGCUUAAACCAAAAUUGGCUGCGUGAUGCAGCGGCUCGCACAGUACGCAUUGCGUUUGUCGCCUCCGUAAGAUAUUUCAUCUACAGCUUGUGAUUGUGACUCAUCAGAUCCAGAAGAUUCUUGCCUAAAGAGCCCCAACUACGCUAUAUUCCUAAGGAUAUCUGGAAAACCACAGGAUGAAGUUCAGCUACUAUCAAGUAAAGAGUAGAGCGGCGACAACAAUCAGGACAAUAGUGCGUGGAAAACAGUUGCCGCUACGCUAUUAAAGCACAACACAAAAUUUACGUCAAAAAUAUUUACAUUACAGAUGGAAAAGUUGUUGAGACUUUUCAGGCGCCGGAAGGAAAUCUCGCACUCGGCGGAGCCAACGUUCGAGACAUCGCGUGUAGCCGUGAGAGCCAUCAUCGACGGUUUCGUGAACGAGGACCCGGACGUCGCUCAACACGACGAGGCCGUCGUUCGCCGGAGGGGUCGGCAGACCACGGUCACGGACAAGUCACAGCAACCCUACUGGCAGAGCCAAAUUGAAACUUUCGUGGUGGCAUCCAGAAACCGCGCGGAAGAACUAUUCCAGAAGGCAGAAGCGUCCCACAGCGAACCCCUCGCGGACGCGUACAGUUACUUAUUGCAAACGAUGGACAGAGACGGUGUCGAAAGAGGCAAUACAGACGAGGCCAGGUGGCAGAAGUUGGGAGACUACGAGGUUCGGGCGUGGUCCAGCCACCCUAGAGAAUCAUCGCACAACUAUCCGCCCAAAGGCCCACCAUAGAGCUGGAGAAUAAUUUAUAAUUCGUUCGCAAUCACAAAACGCAAUAUAUUCAAAUCUAAAUCGUAACCAAACAAUAUUAGACUAGAUACCAUGCAUCUACCAGUGAAAUCAUAAGAACCAGCUUCCAAAUGGACGAAAGUGUUAAUUUUUACAAUAGAUGACUGCCUAAUCUUAAUAUUUAAUUUCAUCGGUCAUUUAUCAGUUUCUAAAAAAAAAAAAUGUUUCAUACAUUAUUGCUAUGGUGAAAAUACUGACAUUGAUGUGGCCAAUAGAUGCGGGGGAGGACUAUAUCCAGUGAGAAAUACUAGCAAAUUCCUUAGCGUCACUAGCGCGACGAGACUGACAUAAGCUAGAAAUACCUAUUCUCACAGAUUAGUUAGAUAUAGUCGUGAAACUAUCAUUUGAAAUGUCAUAGGAGAUGUCAUUUGAAUUUCAAUAUUUUAUCUUAGAUAGUCAGACCAAUCAAAGUCGCAAGGUUAAUUGAAACUCCGAAAAUAUCUACCAGAUUAAACAUCCUAAAAAUAGCUAUAAUUAUGAGUAUAUUGAAAUUAUCUAUUAUUUUUAUUACUUCAUAAUCAAUAUUAGAAUACAUGUUACAAAUUUAGAAAUUUAGCAUAAUCAUGAAAACAGGGAAGUGUUUCGAAUAGCAUUAUUUAACAACUAUAAGUACUCUUAGUCAAGUAUAAUACAUUAAAUUUUAACACAUGAUUUUUUA
Bacillus rossius redtenbacheri is the source of this 1525-nucleotide long non-coding RNA. RefSeq lists it as uncharacterized. NCBI's taxonomy places the organism in Eukaryota, Metazoa, Arthropoda, Insecta, Phasmatodea, Bacillidae. The record is from RefSeq and is a predicted model, not a curated record. The transcript is spliced from 3 exons.